This is a non-coding RNA of Cherax quadricarinatus, 442 nucleotides long. The record is from RefSeq and is a predicted model, not a curated record. NCBI's taxonomy places the organism in Eukaryota, Metazoa, Arthropoda, Malacostraca, Decapoda, Parastacidae.
CCGUCAACGCCAUCUAUGGGAGAGCUCACGUGGAGGUGGCUGGAGGUGCUUGGUGCCCCCGUCAGAUCAUCUACAAGGAGGGCGUGGAGUACCUGGAGGUGUAUCUGGGGGAGGAACACGUCGUCACUAAGGUGGAGGUGCAGGGCAGGUUCGGUAAUGGCCAGGGCAAGGAAUAUGCUGAGAGAUACAGGUUACAGUACUGGAGACCUGGACAAGACCACUGGAUCACCUACGUCGAUGGUCAAGGGACCGAGUUGCUGGAGGGGAACACCAACACAUACCUGGCAAAGACCUCUCAGUUGAGUCCACCCAUCAUAGCGGCCAGGGUGAGGUCGUGCCUUACAGCGACCACCCUCGUACAGUGUGUAUGAGAGUGGAGAUCUACGGUUGUCGCUACACUGAGGGUCUGGUGUCGUACCGAUGCCUGACGGUGACCCCCGGG